This 61-nucleotide transfer RNA is filed under the name Dipodomys ordii (Ord's kangaroo rat). It matches the Rfam family "tRNA", at positions 6 to 65 of the family's 71-position model. From Rfam's summary of the family: Transfer RNA (tRNA) molecules are approximately 80 nucleotides in length. The record is from Rfam by way of RNAcentral. Lineage: Eukaryota; Metazoa; Chordata; Mammalia; Rodentia; Heteromyidae.
UGUGGCUCAGUGGUAGAGCACCUACCUUGCAAGUGCUAGGUUCUGAGUCCAAAUCUCAGUA